CAGGUGGUGGGAGGAGUAUCUUGUGUUGUCCACGGAGGUGUCGCGAACGGUCCGUAGGUUCUGACCCCACCACCGCCAGUCCUGGCGCCUGGAGCGAGUCACGGCUGGGACACGCUGCACUGGGAACCCCGGCGGCCUCCAAGGCGGGUGUUGCGUGCCCCUUACAAGAGGCCCAGGGGGCGCGGAGAGCCGGCAGGAGGUCAGCUCCGACCCCAGGCCCAGCCCCGGGUUCCGUGCCCGCCCCCGCCACCGGGACCCUGAUCUGCACUGCCUGAUGUGUCCCCACCGUGUCCGGGCAGUGAGGCUGUCCCCUGGUGCCUGGCGGGUGCCCCGUGUUGAGAAGCUGUGGAACAAACGCACAACAGGAGCAAAGAAAAGGGGAGAUGCGUCUUUGUAAGUUGGCAUGGCCCUUUACCUGUGGAGGACCAGGGGAAGACUGCUUGUGAGCCCGCCAGCCAGGAGAAGAGGAGUGAGCUCAGUGCAGAGCAGCCCUUGAGAGGUGUCUCCAUCCUGUCAGGAAGUGGCUGGACCACGGUGUGCCCAAGAUGAAUGCACCAUACAGAAGCAUCAUGGGAGUUGUCGUGGCAGGAACAUUCUAGACCCCCAGUGUCCUUGAGGGGUGCUAUCUUGGAUCUGGAGAUGGUUGGAGGAAACCCCAAGGGGACAGAGGCACUGAUUCUCGCGAUAGUGACCUGGGUCACAGCUGCCCUGGAGGGGCCUCCUCGUGGUGAGCUAAUGCCCAGGGGCCAGGUGGGCCUGUGUUUCUGAGGUGGACAUUCCGAGCUGCUGGCCUCAUUUGACUUUCUCCUUUAGAUUAUUUUGGGGUUGAUCACGGACACAGGCGUAGCGGAGUGAAGAGUGAUGUUGCCACGUGAUCUCUCGCCAGACUUUCUUACCUGUAUUAGCUCAACACGGCAUGGAAGGACUUUUUCCUCUGAGUGAGCAGGACAUCAGGAAAGCCCUGGAGGGUUAUGUGCAGACUUGGAGACCUCCACCUGGCUCUGCCCCUUCCCGGCAGGUGCCACAGAGCGUGUCGACCAGGACUACGGUAUCCUUUUGUCUGGGCUAGGUCGUCCAGUGGCCCCCUGGCCCCCCCACCUACUCCUGGUGAAACCCCUUAGAACCAACAGUUCUGUCGAAGUUGUCUCUGCUGUGCAGCAUUGGCCUCUCACCUGCCUCAAUAAAUCUCGGAAUUGCCCUGUU
Rhinolophus ferrumequinum (greater horseshoe bat) is the source of this 1203-nucleotide long non-coding RNA. RefSeq lists it as uncharacterized. The record is from RefSeq and is a predicted model, not a curated record. Lineage: Eukaryota; Metazoa; Chordata; Mammalia; Chiroptera; Rhinolophidae. The transcript is spliced from 6 exons.